UACGAAGGGGGCUAGCGUUGUUCGGAAUCACUGGGCGUAAAGCGCACGCAGGCGGAUUUUUAAGUCAGGGGUGAAAUCCCGAGGCUCAACCUCGGAACUGCCUUUGAUACUGGAGAUCUUGAGUCCGGAAGAGGUAAGUGGAACUGCGAGUGUAGAGGUGAAAUUCGUAGAUAUUCGCAAGAACACCAGUGGCGAAGGCGGCUUACUGGUCCGGAACUGACGCUGAGGUGCGAAAGCGUGGGGAGCAAACAGG
RNAcentral lists this ribosomal RNA (253 nucleotides) under uncultured bacterium. RNAcentral describes it as "partial 16S ribosomal RNA". It matches the Rfam family "Bacterial small subunit ribosomal RNA", at positions 524 to 776 of the family's 1533-position model. The record is from RNAcentral.